Molecule: long non-coding RNA, 263 nt
Filed under: Mytilus galloprovincialis (Mediterranean mussel)
Lineage: Eukaryota; Metazoa; Mollusca; Bivalvia; Mytilida; Mytilidae
Source: RNAcentral
GCACGAUCUGGAUUGUCUAGAAAAAGUGUCAUAUUUGUAUAAUGAACUUACAUGCCUUUUUCUUAAGUCUGUUUGCAUGUUUCUAGUUAUUAAAUCGGUAGAAAAGAUGAACAUGUAGCUAGCAGACCAGGGUUUAUUUAUUUUUGUAUUAAAGAAUAUUAGAUGCUUGUUGAAAUUUCCAAUUUUGAAUUAUGCACAAAGAUUGACCUUUAACAGGUUGGGAACAACACUCCAAAUGAGGGGUAACCCUCAUUUGAAGAACA